UUUUUCUACUUAGUUGUAACUGCAUUCAUCGUGUACAGGUGGAGAGCUAAAGGGAAUCAAACAGCAUGUGGUGAAGAUAAUGGUCUUGAUGGUGAUGUUGAUGAUGAAGUGACGCAUCACACUGUGGCCACUUCCUCCUUCCUCUGAACUUCCUCCUUCAUAUUAGACGCCAUGCAGUCAUGACAUCUCUGCAUUGGUAGCUUCAUGCUCCUGACGAUGCUU
Molecule: long non-coding RNA, 222 nt
Organism: Lampris incognitus (smalleye Pacific opah)
Lineage: Eukaryota; Metazoa; Chordata; Actinopteri; Lampriformes; Lampridae
Exons: 3
Source: RefSeq, a predicted model, not a curated record